RNAcentral lists this ribosomal RNA (412 nucleotides) under uncultured microorganism. RNAcentral describes it as "bacterial SSU rRNA". It matches the Rfam family "Archaeal small subunit ribosomal RNA", at positions 330 to 745 of the family's 1478-position model. The record is from RNAcentral.
GUGCACCAGUCGCGAAAACUCCGCAAUGCUCGAAAGAGUGACGGGGGAUUCCAAGUGCCUACGCUCAGCGUAGGCUGUUCAGAUGCCUAAAAAGCAUCUGGAGUAAGGGCUGGGUAAGACGGGUGCCAGCCGCCGCGGUAAUACCCGCAGCUCGAGUGGUAGUCGAUUUUAUUGGGCCUAAAGCGUCCGUAUCCGGUCUGGUAAAUGCUUGGGUAAAUCGUGGGGCUCAACCCUACGAAUUCCGGGUAGACUGCCAGACUUGGGACCGGUUGAGGAAGAGGGUACUUCAGGGGUAGGAGUGAAAUCCUGUAAUCCUUGAAGGACCACCAGUGGCGAAGGCGCUCUUCUAGGACGGGUCCGACGGUGAGGGACGAAAGCCAGGGGAGCGAAACCGGAUUAGAUACCCCGUAGU